UUUAUGAGUUUAUGUGUCCAACAUUUGAAUGUUUGUCUUAUUUAAAAUUUUUAUAUGAUUAGUAUUUUUAUUGUUAUUAGAAUAUAAAACACGAAUAUUAUUUAUAAACUUUUUAAAUAAAACGAAUGAUUAAACGUUGAACUCAUAAACUCGUAAAUAAAUUUAUU
Molecule: microRNA precursor, 167 nt
Filed under: Oryza nivara
Lineage: Eukaryota; Viridiplantae; Streptophyta; Magnoliopsida; Poales; Poaceae
Description: MIR812 microRNA precursor family
Rfam family: MIR812 microRNA precursor family
Source: Rfam by way of RNAcentral